RNAcentral lists this long non-coding RNA (2153 nucleotides) under Heterocephalus glaber (naked mole-rat). RNAcentral's name for it is "lncRNA (ENSHGLG00000049228.1)". The record is from RNAcentral. Lineage: Eukaryota; Metazoa; Chordata; Mammalia; Rodentia; Bathyergidae.
GUAGAGUUGUCUUUUUUUUUUUUAGUAGAAUUAAAAAUGCCUUCUAUUUCAAGGAUCGCUGGGAGAAAUCUGCAUUCCUUAGGUGGUUUUAGGUGGAAAUCUCAAGCCCCUCCCCAAGAAUCUACCUUUGUUAAAAGUGAUUCUGGGCCGGGGAUUUAGCUCAGCAGCUCUGUUGCCUGCCUCGCAAGCGCAAGGACCCGAGUUCGAUCCCCGGUACAAAAAAAAAAAAAGUGAUUUUAUUCAUCUGUGGACCCAAGGCCAUUUUGGCUUCCCUGACAUGCUUCCAAAUUAAAAUCAUAAAUAAUGGCAAAGGAAAAUGAAAUGCUAGAAACUGCUUCUUGCCUCCUUGCCCCUUUUCUAUUCUGAAAAUCUUCUUGAAACAAUUUAAAGUGGCCAAGAACUUAGGCAGGGGGAAUAAGGCCAGAAUUCAAAAAUGAACAGGGCUAUUUAAAGCAUAUUAAAUGCAUGUUUCCUCCUGACAUUUCACUUCUCCCUCUUUUAAUUAUGUGGAGAGAACCGAGUUGGCCAGAGAUUGUGCUUCCCGCAAAGAUAUCUCGGGCAGAGCCACACAGUGCCUGAGCAAAGCAACGAAGAGGCUGUGUGGGUACCCUGCAGCAGCAGUGCGGUUUGAAUAUGGCGACACCAAGACUGCAGGGCAAGGACAGCUGAAGUGAAACCGGAUGGAAGCUUCAGUCUUUCCAGUGACCCAGCCACCUCCCAAGUCAAGAAAGGCCUAAGCAGCACUGAUGCUGUUCUGGGGACCAAAGCUGGAGGUGCUGUUGGGUAGAGCAGGGGAAGAAGAGGCAUGAAUAACAGCACUGAGCUGAGCCAGUCUGUUUGAGAGGUCAGGCUCAGUUCACCCAGGCACAACCUAAGAAAACCGAGCUCACUGCUCUCAGGAGCCCCCUCCCUUGAUCCUAUCAGGCCAUCUGUGGGAGGAGGACACAACCUAAGGGGAAUUCCAGGGACCAGGCAUCUCCAGAAAAACAUGCUGAGGCCCCAGGCAGCCCUACCUUGCCUUCCCCACCAAUUCCAGCAGCCCACUCAUUUAUCUUUUUCAUUAAAAAAGAGAGGCAUUUCUUCCCUGAAGGGCACCCAGUAGAAAGCUGCCUUCCUUCCUUUGUUAUUGAGCAUGCUUUGACAGAAUGUACAAUUUCUUCUGAUCUGUUAUACGUCAACAUCCAAGUAUGUAAGUACGUUCCAGAAGUAUGUUCUCAAGCACCUCCUGUUACCCAGAGAAGCUGUGUAUUAGUAUGAAAUUGAACAUAACCAACCAGUGCUUUUAACCUAGGUGAGAAAAUCAGAGAAAGCAGAAAUCCCAGAACCCCUGGCUGCAGAGUUACAAUUCCACAUGCUGCCCUGUGUGACUGUGGACAAGUGCCCCCAUGCCUCGACAGGCCAAUUUUCUGAGGAUACUGGGCAGUCUCCAGGUUCUCUUACAGCUCCAACUUUCUAUGAUUCUCUAAGACUUGGCAGCAAAGCACACACAGCACAGCAGGGAGCACAGAGUAGACUGUCUGAGAGACUCCCCAGGGCCCACACUGGCAGAAAGAAUAAGGGUGGUGUGCACAGGAAGGGGUAAAGCCUGCUGCAGAACGAGCAUGAGCUUUAAACAACUGAAAUAUCAUUUUUCACCUACCAGACUGGCAAAAAGGAAAAAGGAAACUACCUUGGGGGAAGCUGGCACUCUCAAACAAUGCUGUUGGGAACACAUUUUGAAAUAGCUUUCCAAGAAAGGAAUUCAGCAGUAAGCAUGAAAACCCUGAAACAUGUGCACAUUUUUUGACCCAGCGAUGAACCCUUCCUAGUGAUAUAACUCAGGGAAAUAAUUGGGCAAAAAAAGACAAAGGGAUAUGAAGACAGAUGUUCACUUUUCCAGCAUUGUUGCCAACACUGGGAAACAGUAGAAACUGUGUGUUUAUUAUGUGCAGUAGGUAAAAUGCUAUCUAUAAGGUAAAAUGAUGGAAUGGAUCCUUGUAAAAGUGACAUGGAAAUCUACGUGCCUGUGUCUGUGUGUCUCCCAGAGGGUGGGCAAGAAGGGGAGGAAAAGAACAGGGAAGCCACAGAAAGCAAUAUAUGCAAUGCUGCUAUUCCCCCCCCCAUUAAGUUUAUUGGUACAUUUUUGGUAUAAAAUACAGUUACAUUUAUGAGCA